UGCGCACAGGUGAUGACGGAAUUAAUAUUCAAACAACACGGCGGGUGAGACAUCAGUGGCGUCGACAGAGGAAUUCACAUUUAAAUGUAAGAAUUAAUAUCCAGCAAGCCAAGUGUUAAAAGGACAAUUCUGGAGAAAAUGGGCCUGCUGAGGAAGGAUUGCAAGUCUCCUGGGAUGGGUGAGGGGGUGAGUGGAAAACCCACUGCUGAAACUUGGCCCUUAUUUGUCCUCAUGGAUGAGGUGUUAGGACACAGGCCCUCAAACAACCCCCCUGUCCUAAUUGCUCCAUUCCUGAGGAAACGGCAGGGCCAAGUUCAGCAGUGGGUGACGAAGCUGAGGAGGAGCCAGCACCAGGCAAGAAAAAACGGGGCCAUGAGUAUGAGCUGGUGGAGCUACUCCGAGAAGACACCAAGUUCCAGACGGAGACGGAGGAAAGAAGAGCCCAAGAGAACAGAGAGAGAAUGGACCGACUGUUUGGUCUUCUUAAGAGGAUGGCUAACAAAUAAAUUAACCAUUUUCUCAAGAAAAGAAAACCUAUUUUAAGUCAGUUUGCCAAUGAAAUAGUCUAAUUUCUGUUCAGUUUAUUUUUGUUAGUUAAAAAUGAAGAGUUAUAUGCAUUUAUUUUUGUAAUGUAAU
This is a long non-coding RNA of Cyprinus carpio carpio, 636 nucleotides long. NCBI's taxonomy places the organism in Eukaryota, Metazoa, Chordata, Actinopteri, Cypriniformes, Cyprinidae. The record is from Ensembl.